This 819-nucleotide ribosomal RNA is filed under the name Bacillus paralicheniformis. RNAcentral's name for it is "bacterial SSU rRNA". It matches the Rfam family "Bacterial small subunit ribosomal RNA", at positions 130 to 932 of the family's 1533-position model. The record is from RNAcentral. Lineage: Bacteria; Bacillati; Bacillota; Bacilli; Caryophanales; Bacillaceae.
CUGUAAGACUGGGAUAACUCCGGGAAACCGGGGCUAAUACCGGAUGCUUGAUUGAACCGCAUGGUUCAAUUAUAAAAGGUGGCUUUUAGCUACCACUUACAGAUGGACCCGCGGCGCAUUAGCUAGUUGGUGAGGUAACGGCUCACCAAGGCAACGAUGCGUAGCCGACCUGAGAGGGUGAUCGGCCACACUGGGACUGAGACACGGCCCAGACUCCUACGGGAGGCAGCAGUAGGGAAUCUUCCGCAAUGGACGAAAGUCUGACGGAGCAACGCCGCGUGAGUGAUGAAGGUUUUCGGAUCGUAAAACUCUGUUGUUAGGGAAGAACAAGUACCGUUCGAAUAGGGCGGUACCUUGACGGUACCUAACCAGAAAGCCACGGCUAACUACGUGCCAGCAGCCGCGGUAAUACGUAGGUGGCAAGCGUUGUCCGGAAUUAUUGGGCGUAAAGCGCGCGCAGGCGGUUUCUUAAGUCUGAUGUGAAAGCCCCCGGCUCAACCGGGGAGGGUCAUUGGAAACUGGGGAACUUGAGUGCAGAAGAGGAGAGUGGAAUUCCACGUGUAGCGGUGAAAUGCGUAGAGAUGUGGAGGAACACCAGUGGCGAAGGCGACUCUCUGGUCUGUAACUGACGCUGAGGCGCGAAAGCGUGGGGAGCGAACAGGAUUAGAUACCCUGGUAGUCCACGCCGUAAACGAUGAGUGCUAAGUGUUAGAGGGUUUCCGCCCUUUAGUGCUGCAGCAAACGCAUUAAGCACUCCGCCUGGGGAGUACGGUCGCAAGACUGAAACUCAAAGGAAUUGACGGGGGCCCGCACAAGCGG